Molecule: ribosomal RNA, 3139 nt
Filed under: Elusimicrobia bacterium ADurb.Bin231
Lineage: Bacteria; Pseudomonadati; Elusimicrobiota
Description: bacterial LSU rRNA
Rfam family: Bacterial large subunit ribosomal RNA
Source: RNAcentral
UCAAGUUAACAAGGGCGUACAGUGGAUGCCUUGGCAGAUGAAGUCUAUGAAGGACGUGGUAAGCUGCGAUAAGCGUCGGGGAGGUGCAAACAACCUUUGAUCCGGCGAUUUCCGAAUGGGGAAACCCUGUCUCGCGCAAGCGAGACAAUCCAUAACUGAAUACAUAGGUUGUGGAAGACAACCCGGUGAAGUGAAACAUCUCAGUAACCGGAGGAAGAGAAAUCAACAGAGAUUCCCUCAGUAGUGGCGAGCGAAAGGGGAAUAGCCUAAACCUCGAUACUUGUAUCGGGGGGUUGUAGGACCGCGUGAGUAAAGUAAGAAAUCUGAAUCUUAAUUGAACUUUUCUGGAAAGAAAGACCAAAGAAGGUGAUAGUCCUGUAAAUGAAAAGAUUCGGACUUGAAGCGGUAUCCUAAGUAGUGCCGAGCACGUGAAACUCGGUAUGAAUCCGGGGGGCCCACCCUCCAAGGCUAAAUACUCUCAUCUGACCGAUAGUGAACCAGUACCGCGAGGGAAAGGCGAAAAGAACCCCUGACGGGGAGUGAAAAAGAACCUGAAACUGUAUGCUUACAAGCUACGGGAGCGCUAUGCUCCUGCGCGCAAGCGCAGGGGAAUGCGUUACCGUGUGCCUGUUGAAGAAUGAACCUGCGAGUUAUUGGAUCGAGCAAGGUUAAUUCCGGAUUGAAAGAUUCGGAAGGAGCCGUAGCGAAAGCGAGUCUUAAUAGGGCGAAUUAGUUCGAUUCAAUAGACCCGAAGCCAAGUGAUCUAUCCCUGAACAGGGUGAAGUCUCCUUAACCGGUGACGGAGGCCCGAACCUAUUGGUGUUGAAAAACCUUAGGAUGAUUUGGGGAUAGGGGUGAAAGGCUAAUCUAACUUGGUUAUUGCUGGUUCUCCCCGAAAUAGCUUUAGGGCUAGCCUGCUGUGUUAAAUAUAGGCGGUAGAGCACUGGAUAGAUUAGGUGCCUUAACCAGGUUACCAAAUUUAACCAAACUCCGAAUGCUUAUAUUCCAAAACAGCGGAGUCAGUGCGUGAGGGCUAAGCUUCACGCGCAAAAGGGGAACAGCCCAGACCGUAAGUUAAGGUCCCUAAAUUGAUACUAAGUGGUAAAGGAUGUGAAAUUACUCAGACAGCCAGGAUGUUGGCUUAGAAGCAGCCAUCAUUCAAAGAUAGCGUAACAGCUCACUGGUCAAGUGAUUUCGCGCCGAAAAUGUCCGGGGCUCAAGUAUCGUACCGAAACUACGGAUCAAUGCCGCUCUCACAAAAAUCUUACUACAUUUGGCGUCCUUUCGGCCGCCAAAUGGAAAAGGGCGUGAGAGCAUCGAACAAAUGUCAUAUAACAUAAGAUUUUUGUGAGUGCGGCAUGGGUGGUAGGGGAGCGUUCCGUAUUAGGAUGAAGGCAUACCGUAAGGAGUGCUGGACGAAACGGAAGUGAGGAUGCAGGUAUAAGUAGCGAGAAUGCCGGUGAGAAUCCGGCACGCCGUAAAUCUAAGGUUUCCUUGAGCAACGUUCGUCGACUCAGGGUUAGUCGGUCCUAAGCCGAGUCCUUCGUAAUGGAGGGGUAGGCGAAGGGUAUCCGGUUAAUAUUCCGGAACCAUAUUUGUAGCGCUAUCAAUUUUGAAAUGACGCAGGAAGGUAAACCAUCCUCGUGUUGAAUUACGAGGUUUGUCCCGAAGGAAUUUGGGAUGACCAGUUCUGAGCAAUCAGAGCGAAGUGGUCCAACUACACUGCCGAGAAAAGUUUCAAAAUGAGUUGCAGAUAUGCCCGUACCGCAAACCGACACAGGUAGAUGAGUAGAAUAUACUAAGGCGCGCGAUUGAAUCAUCGUUUAGGAACUCGGCAAAUUAGCCUCGUAACUUCGGAAUAAGAGGUGCCUGAGUAGAGCGUAUGGAAAAUAAAUCAGCAAAGAUUGGAGAAGGGGUUAUACCUUUCACAUUCGGAUACUGUUUAUCGGAAAUACGUGUUGAAAAGGUUGCAAUAAAGAGGCCCCCGCGACUGUUUAACAAAAACACAGGACUCUGCUUAAAGCGUAAGCUGAUGUAUAGGGUCUGACGCCUGCCCGGUGCCGGAAGGUUAAGAGGAGUGGUCAUUUGGACGCAAGUCCGGAGAAGCUGCGAAUCGAAGCCCCGGUAAACGGCGGCCGUAACUAUAACGGUCCUAAGGUAGCGAAAUUCCUUGUCGGGUAAGUUCCGACCUGCACGAAUGGCGUAACGAAGGGGGCGCUGUCUCAACGAUGAAUUCGGCGAAAUUGUGCUGUAAGUGAAGACGCUUACUACCCGCAACUAGACGAAAAGACCCCGUGGAGCUUUACUGUAGUCUAAUCUUGAAUUAUGGUCUUAUUUGCGUAGAAUAGGUGGGACCCUUUGAAGUCCUGGUUUUGGCCGGGAUGGAGGGAACAGUGAAAUACCACCCUAAUAUGUCUGUGAUUCUAAUUUCGUCCCAUUUAUCUGGGCGGAAAACAGGGUUAGAUGGGCAGUUUGACUGGGGCGGUCGCCUCCUAAAAUAUAACGGAGGCGUCCAAAGGUCACCUCAGCGCGAAUAGAAAUCGCGUGUCGAGUGCAAGGGCAUAUGGUGGCUUAACUGCGAGACAAACAAGUCGAGCAGAUGCGAAAGCAGGGCCUAGUGAUCCGGUGGUAUGAUUGUGGUAUUGCCAUCGCUCAACGGAUAAAAGCUACCCCGGGGAUAACAGGCUGAUUCCCUCCAAGAGUCCAUAUCGACGAGGGAGUUUGGCACCUCGAUGUCGGAUCGUCCUAUCCUGGGGCUGAAGUAGGUCCCAAGGGUUUGGCUGUUCGCCAAUUAAAAGGGUACGUGAUCUGGGUUCAAUACGUCGUGAGACAGUAUGGUCCCUAUCUGUUGCGGGUGCAUGAAAUUUGAGAGGAGCUGACCAUAGUACGAGAGGACCUGGUUGGACGAACCUCUGGCGUACCAGUUGUCGUGUCAACGGCAUAGCUGGGUAACCAAGUUCGAAACGGAUAAAUGCUGAAAGCAUAUAAGCGUGAAGCCGACCUCAAAACAAGAUUUCGCAAUUCUGAUAGCAAUAUCGGGAUAAGAAGGCCCCCCGUAGAUGACGGGGUUGAUAGGCGGGAGGUGUAAGCAUAGCAAUAUGUUGAGCUGACCCGUACUAAUAGGCCGUUCGACUUGACC